This 434-nucleotide ribosomal RNA is filed under the name uncultured Lachnospiraceae bacterium. RNAcentral describes it as "partial 16S ribosomal RNA". It matches the Rfam family "Bacterial small subunit ribosomal RNA", at positions 341 to 792 of the family's 1533-position model. Lineage: Bacteria; Bacillati; Bacillota; Clostridia; Lachnospirales; Lachnospiraceae. The record is from RNAcentral.
ACGGAAGGCAGCAGUGGGGAAUAUUGCACAAUGGGGGAAACCCUGAUGCAGCGACGCCGCGUGAGUGAAGAAGUAUUUCGGUAUGUAAAGCUCUAUCAGCAGGAAAGAAAAUGACGGUACCUGUCUAAGAAGCCCCGGCUAACUACGUGCCAGCAGCCGCGGUAAUACGUAGGGGGCAAGCGUUAUCCGGAUUUACUGGGUGUAAAGGGAGCGUAGACGGCUUUGCAAGUCUGAAGUGAAAGCCCGGGGCUCAACCCCGGAACUGCUUUGGAAACUGUAGAGCUAGAGUGCAGGAGAGGUAAGUGGAAUUCCUAGUGUAGCGGUGAAAUGCGUAGAUAUUAGGAGGAACACCAGUGGCGAAGGCGGCUUACUGGACUGUAACUGACGUUGAGGCUCGAAGGCGUGGGGAGCAAACAGGAUUAGAUACCCUGGUA